Molecule: ribosomal RNA, 466 nt
Filed under: uncultured bacterium
Lineage: Bacteria
Description: bacterial SSU rRNA
Rfam family: Bacterial small subunit ribosomal RNA
Source: RNAcentral
GACGAGCGCUGGCGGCAUGCCUAACACAUGCAAGUCUAGGGGUAGCAAUACCACUGGCGCACGGGUGAGUAACACGUAGGUUAUCUGCCCCCAUCACAGACAUAACCCCGGGAAACCGGGGCUAAUAUCUGAUGAGGUCGCGAGAUCAAAGCUUCGGCGGAUGGGGAUGAGCCUGCGGCUGAUUAGCUAGUUGGUGAGGUAAUGGCUCACCAAGGCGACGAUCAGUAGCUGGUCUGAGAGGACGAACAGCCACACUGGAACUGAGACACGGUCCAGACUCCUACGGGAGGCAGCAGUGAGGAAUAUUGGUCAAUGGGAGCAAUCCUGAACCAGCAAUGCCGCGUGUGGGAUGACAGGGCUUCGCCUUGUAAACCACUGUCGGACGGGACGAAAGGAGGCCUCGGGCCUCUGGGACGGUACCGUCAAAGGAAGGGUCGGCUAACUACGUGCCAGCAGCCGCGGUAAU